This is a long non-coding RNA of Amphimedon queenslandica, 1245 nucleotides long. RefSeq lists it as uncharacterized. NCBI's taxonomy places the organism in Eukaryota, Metazoa, Porifera, Demospongiae, Haplosclerida, Niphatidae. The transcript is spliced from 3 exons. The record is from RefSeq and is a predicted model, not a curated record.
UAUCAUUAUUAUCAUUAUUAUUAUUAUUAUUAUUAUUUACAGUAUAGUCUCUGGUAUGACUGCAGGUAUUACAAACCCAACCUGCAGUGACCUAUGACCUCCUCCUCCUCCUUCACUCUCCCUUCCCUCACUCCUGGAACAUGAAUCAACAUUAAUAUCACUAUCAGUCACUGGAUCAUCCACUGAUCCAUUAGUUAUAUUCUCUAACUCAUUCACUUCAACCAAUAAACCACCAACAGUAUACUUCCUCUUCCUAGCUGAACCUCUUCUCACUAUAUCAGUUCAUGGACUCACACUAGUAACACUCCCUGACUCAUCUUGAUUUGGUAUGGAUGCCCGUCGAGUGGCUCCGGUGACAUUGAUGUCAUCAUUCACUAUUGUACAUUCUGUACUGAAAGGUCAUUGCAAAGACUAUGCCAAGCAGUGGCGUAGCUAGAAUAAAUAAAGAAAGAGGGCACAGUGGGGGCACUGACUAAAGCAAUGCUCAAGAAUACUCAAUAUAUUGCAGGGGCACAAGAAGCAGUUAUGAGGGCACUUGCCCCCACAGGCCCCUAUGUAGCUACGCCACUGAUGCCAAGUCAGCCAUUGGACAAGCUGUCCUCCAUUUAAGUAAAGUUAAUGAAGAAGCACAUAAUGCUGAUCCAGAAAUGUACUCACACGCUGUAAGAGAAGAGGAGAAGGGAGAGGAAGAGAGGGAGAGAGAGGGACAGGGAGGGAAAUGGCAGAGAAGUUAGGCACACACACACCUACACAUACACACACAUACACAGUUGAUCUAUUUAUUACAUUUGUACACAAUGAAGAGGUGUACUGCUAACACUCUCUCAAUGUUAGUGCUAGUAACAAUAGAACAUCAUUUACAUGUAAGUAGUACACAUAUACAGUGCACAAACAAACCAUUAACAAACGAAACACACUACAUGUAUAAUAAACAGACAAUAAAACACCGGCAGUAAGACAAUAGAGUAGUUACAUUGUACAUGACAUACUCUUAUGAAUGAUUUUAUUAUAAGAAUCAGCACAAAAUAGACAAGUAAAAGAACUUUAUUGUACACAUUAAUUGUUCAUAAUAAUAAUAAUAGUCAGAUAUGGGAGAAUAGUAAUAAUAGAAGUAUUUGAAGAUGCUAGUGCAGGCAACAAGUUUUGUGUUGUGUAGAAAGUGCAGAUUCCAAUUAAAAUUGGAUUUUUAACUAUUUUUAAAAGUUGCUUCAAAUCAGGGCAAAUACCCUACUACAGUAUAAGGUC